Molecule: ribosomal RNA, 565 nt
Filed under: uncultured fungus
Lineage: Eukaryota; Fungi
Description: eukaryotic LSU rRNA
Rfam family: 5.8S ribosomal RNA (bases 218-371)
Source: RNAcentral
AAGUCGUAACAAGGUCUCCGUUGGUGAACCAGCGGAGGGAUCAUUACAGAGUUGCAAAACUCCCAACCAUUGUGUACCCACCUCACCGUUGCUUCGGCGGGUGGCCCGCUAACCACGGGCUGCGCUGGCUGCCUCUCCAGGGCAUCCGGCACCCCGUCAGAAGCCCGAAACUCUUUGUCAUCAGUGGCCUCUCUGAGUAACUUAUACAAUAAGUCAAAACUUUCAACAACGGAUCUCUUGGUUCUGGCAUCGAUGAAGAACGCAGCGAAAUGCGAUACGUAAUGUGAAUUGCAGAUUUCAGUGAAUCAUCGAAUCUUUGAACGCACAUUGCGCCCGCCAGUAUUCUGGCGGGCAUGCCUGUUCGAGCGUCAUUUCAACCAUCAAGCCCCUGCGCUUGUGUUGGAGCCCUGCGGCUGCCGCAGGCUCCCAAAACCAGUGGCGGGCUCGUCGUCGUACCGAGUGCAGUAAAUUUACCACGCUCAGGGCGCGCGACGGGUGACCGGCCGUAAAACCCCCCAUUUCUCAAGGUUGACCUCGGAUCAGGUAGGAAUACCCGCUGAACUUA